CCUACGGGAGGCAGCAGUGGGGGAUAUUGCACAAUGGGGGAAACCCUGAUGCAGCGACGCCGCGUGUAGGAAGACGGUCCUCUGGAUUGUAAACUACUGUCCCCAGGGACUAAGAUGACGGUACCUGGGGAGGAAGCUCCGGCUAACUACGUGCCAGCAGCCGCGGCAAUAGGUAGGGAGCGAGCGUUGUCCGGAAUUACUGGGUGUAAAGGGAGCGUAGGCGGGGAUGCAAGUUGGGUGUUAAAUCUACCGGCUCAACUGGUAGUCGCACUCAAAACUGCAGCUCUUGAGUGAAGUAGAGGCAGGCGGAAGUCCUGGUGUAGCGGUGAAAUGCGUAGAUAUUAGGAGGAACACCAGUGGCGAAGGCGGCCUGCUGGGCUUUUACUGACGCUGAGGCUCGAAAGUGUGGGGAGCAAACAGGAUUAGAUACCCCUGUAGUC
RNAcentral lists this ribosomal RNA (440 nucleotides) under uncultured bacterium. RNAcentral's name for it is "partial 16S ribosomal RNA". It matches the Rfam family "Bacterial small subunit ribosomal RNA", at positions 338 to 795 of the family's 1533-position model. The record is from RNAcentral.